Long non-coding RNA from Cynoglossus semilaevis (tongue sole), 869 nucleotides. RefSeq lists it as uncharacterized. Lineage: Eukaryota; Metazoa; Chordata; Actinopteri; Pleuronectiformes; Cynoglossidae. The record is from RefSeq and is a predicted model, not a curated record. The transcript has 4 exons.
AUCUGAGGACGAAAACAAGUUAAAACAGCAAGUCAAGCAGAUUCAUUUAUGUUUUCCUCUCCAUAAAUUCAAAUCAUAAUCCUGUCAUCACAACAAGGUUCUCUGCCGCCUGUGUUUGUAUUGACCUGUCACCAUUUUAUGUGUGCAUGUGCUAGGUGCACGUCUCAGGCUUCAUCUUCACAGUCUCAAGGCAACAACAUUUUUCUUUUCCGUCCAAUUUGUCUCCAUCUGCAGGUCACGACUGAACCGACUUCAAGGAAGAAAAAGGCGAGGGAGGAAAGUGUUACAGGGACUGAGGCUGUUAGGAUUUCAGGCUGCUUUUCUACGUCCACCAGAUCUGACAGCAGCUGAGACCACAAACACUGACAAUAAACCACACUUUGAUUUGUUCCUGAAGGCGGGCUUGAGAAUCUGAACUCCCAUCCUGAUUGGCCGAGAGGAGAGGGUGGACGACCCCGAGGUCAGGAACAGCACCGGCUUCCAACAUGGCGUCGUAGAGGAUGGAGCCAACGGCGUCCUGAGCCUGAGUGUAGUCUUCAUCUGAUGAGAACAACUGGCCCAUGUUGAGUGAAGAUAAAGAGCAGGAGAAAACGAGGACAAAAAGACCCAGAGAGGAAACGACGAGCUGCGGAGACGGUGGUUAGACGAAGAAGAAUUCAAGGGAAGAAAUUUGAUUUUGUUAAAUUGGAUUUGAUUCACGUUUCACCACCAAUAUGGUGGUUUAAUCACGAUUAGUCAGUGAUUCCAGCUGUGCUGCUGGAAUCAUAGUCUUUUAGCAGUAGAUUAAAAAAACUAAAGCUGAUGUUUUCUGAGACUGUAGUCAAAGCUGCAGCAAAACAAAAUCACUGUUUGUCUUGUCCUUUUUUUUU